UGAGGAAUAUUGGACAAUGGGCGCAAGCCUGAUCCAGCCAUGCCGCGUGAGUGAUGAAGGCCCUAGGGUUGUAAAGCUCUUUCACCGGUGAAGAUAAUGACGGUAACCGGAGAAGAAGCCCCGGCUAACUUCGUGCCAGCAGCCGCGGUAAUACGAAGGGGGCUAGCGUUGUUCGGAAUUACUGGGCGUAAAGCGCACGUAGGCGGAUUGUUUAGUCAGGGGUGAAAUCCCGAGGCUCAACCUCGGAACUGCCCUUGAUACUGGCAAUCUUGAGUCCGGGAGAGGUGAGUGGAAUUCCGAGUGUAGAGGUGAAAUUCGUAGAUAUUCGGAGGAACACCAGUGGCGAAGGCGGCUCACUGGCCCGGUACUGACGCUGAGGUGCGAAAGCGUGGGGAGCAAACAGGAUUAGAUACCCGGGUAGUCC
Molecule: ribosomal RNA, 424 nt
Filed under: uncultured prokaryote
Description: bacterial SSU rRNA
Rfam family: Bacterial small subunit ribosomal RNA
Source: RNAcentral